Molecule: ribosomal RNA, 467 nt
Filed under: uncultured bacterium
Lineage: Bacteria
Description: partial 16S ribosomal RNA
Rfam family: Bacterial small subunit ribosomal RNA
Source: RNAcentral
GACGAACGCUGGCGGCGUGCUUAACACAUGCAAGUCGAACGGAAAGGCCCUGCUUUUGUGGGGUGCUCGAGUGGCGAACGGGUGAGUAACACGUGAGUAACCUGCCCUUGACUUUGGGAUAACUUCAGGAAACUGGGGCUAAUACCGGAUAGGAGCUCCUGCUGCAUGGUGGGGGUUGGAAAGUUUCGGCGGUUGGGGAUGGACUCGCGGCUUAUCAGCUUGUUGGUGGGGUAGUGGCUUACCAAGGCUUUGACGGGUAGCCGGCCUGAGAGGGUGACCGGGCACAGUGGGACUGAGAUACGGCACAGACUCCUACGGGAGGCAGGAGUGGGGAAUAGUGCACAAUGGGCGGAAGCCUGAUGCAGCAACGCCGCGUGCGGGAUGACGGCCUUCGGGUUGUAAACCGCUUUCGCCUGUGACGAAGCGGGAGUGACGGUAAUGGGUAAAGAAGCACCGGCUAACUACGU